CGCUCUGGCACACCUUUUGGAUCAGGAAAAAUUCAUGGAAUCGCUCUGAUUCCAUGAAUUUUUCCUGAUCCAAAAGGUGUGCCAGAGCC
This 89-nucleotide microRNA precursor is filed under the name Phlebotomus papatasi. RNAcentral's name for it is "microRNA mir-263". The record is from RNAcentral. Lineage: Eukaryota; Metazoa; Arthropoda; Insecta; Diptera; Psychodidae.